Molecule: ribosomal RNA, 744 nt
Filed under: uncultured Gemmatimonadota bacterium
Lineage: Bacteria; Pseudomonadati; Gemmatimonadota
Description: bacterial SSU rRNA
Rfam family: Bacterial small subunit ribosomal RNA
Source: RNAcentral
GUUUGAUCCUGGCUCAGGACGAACGCUGGCGGCGUGCUUAACACAUGCAAGUCGAGGGCACUAUUGGGGCAACCUGGUGGUGACCGGCGAACGGGUGCGUAACACGUGAGCGACCUUGCCUCGUGGUGGGGGAUAGCCGGCCCAACGGCCGGGUAAUACCACAUAUGGUAGUUUCUUCGCAUGGGGAGACUAGCAAAGCCGUGCAGCAAUGCACUGGCGCCACAGGGGGGGCUCGCGGCCUAUCAGCUAGUUGGGGGGGUAAUGGCCCACCAAGGCGACGACGGGUAGCUGGUCUGAGAGGAUGGCCAGCCACAUUGGGACUGAGAGACGGCCCAGACUCCUACGGGAGGCAGCAGUGGGGAAUCUUGCGCAAUGGCCGAAAGGCUGACGCAGCGACGCCGCGUGGGGGAGGAAGGCCUUCGGGUUGUAAACCCCUGUUGCCCGGGACGAAUGUGCACUUUAGAGUGCAUUGACGGUACCGGGUGAGGAAGCACCGGCUAACUCCGUGCCAGCAGCCGCGGUAAUACGGAGGGUGCAAGCGUUGUCCGGAAUCACUGGGCGUAAAGGGCGCGUAGGCGGCUCAUAAAGGCUGUGGUGAAAGUUCGGGGCUCAACCUCGAAUCGGCCGUGGCGACUUGUGGGCUGGAGCACUGUAGAGGCAGGUGGAAUUCCGGGUGUAGCGGUGGAAUGCGUAGAGAUCCGGAAGAACACCAGUGGCGAAUGCGGCCUGCUGGGCAGUGGCUGA